GCUCACUGCAAGCUCCGCCUCUCAGGUUCACGCCAUUCUCCUGCCUCAGCCUCCCUAGUAGCAGGGACUACAGGCGCCUGCCACCACGCCCGGCUAAUUUUUUUUUUGUAUUUUUAGUAGAGAAGGGGUUUCACCGGGUUAACUAGGAUGGUCUUGAUCUCCUGACCUCGUGACCCACCCACCUCGGCCUCCCAAAGUGCUGGGAUUACAGGCAUGAGCCACCACACCCAGCCGGUUCUACGAUUUUCUUUAUAAUGCACUGUGUAGGCAAGGAGCAGAGACAGAAGACACAGAGUGGAUGUCACUCUGGUUUGGGAGAUUGAUUAUGUGGCCAACAGAGGGAGAAGGAGUUAAGGUCCUUAAAAGGCAGGUUAGAAAUGCAAGAAGACUAAGAGAAAAAAAAUUGCCUGCUAAUACUGGCCUUGGAGGUGUCCAGUUCAAAUCUCCAUCUAAGAUAAGCUGCUCUGGAAGCAGAGCUGAUUGGCAGCCUGCAGUUGUCUUUGCACAUUUGGAUCCAUCCAGCAUUCAUUCCAGGCCACGCCACUCCCAGCCUGUUCCAGAUGAUGAGACAAGGUAAAAAAAGGGCUUGAGGAGACAAAGUGGUUGCCCAAGGUGGCAUCAUCAACCAGAAGCAGAUUUGGCCCUAGAACAUAGGAGGUAGAUUGCAGACAGGCACAAAUUCCUUGCAGCUCCUCUUAUCAAGAAAAAGAGUGUUUUUCUCUACCCCUUUAACGUAGUGAAAAUGAAGUUGUGUGAGAGUCAAGCCUGGAUUGUAAGGGGUCUUUGAGUUUCCUUCUGCUCCUCUCACUCUUGGAAUGCUGCUGCCAUGUGAAAAAAACCGGGGUUAGUCUGUGGGAGGAUGAGAGACUACAUGGAGCAGAGACAAGAAUCCCCGAGGAAGCCCUCCCAUGCCAAUCAGCUGGCCGACUGCCAGACAUGUGAGUGAGGGGCCCCAGAGCUCCCAGCCCCAACCAAGCCACCAGCAGGCUACAGAAACCCACCGAGUUGGUUCAGAUUAGAAGAGCUACCCUAGCCAUCCAGCCAUCCCAGCCACCCCAAGGAAC
Molecule: long non-coding RNA, 1064 nt
Filed under: Homo sapiens (human)
Lineage: Eukaryota; Metazoa; Chordata; Mammalia; Primates; Hominidae
Description: HSALNT0233392
Source: RNAcentral